AGCAUAUCAAUAAGCGGAGGAAAAGAAACUAACAAGGAUUCCCCUAGUAACUGCGAGUGAAGCGGGAAAAGCCCAAAUUUAAAAUCUGGCGGUCUUGGGCCGUCCGAGUUGUAAUCUGGAGAAGUGUUACCCGCGCCGGACCGUGUACAAGUCCCUUGGAAGAGGGCAUCUUAGAGGGUGAAAAUCCCGUCUACGACAUGGACCCCCGGUGCUUCUGUGGUGCGCUCUCGAUGAGUCGAGUUGUUUGGGAAUGCAGCUCUAAAUGGGUGGUGAACUCCAUCUAAGGCUAAAUAUAGGCGAGAGACCGAUAGCGAACAAGUACCGUGAGGGAAAGAUGAAAAGAACUUUGGAAAGAGAGUUAAACAGUACGUGAAAUUGCUGAAAGGGAAACGCUUGAAGUCAGUCGCGUUGUCCGGGAUUCAGCCUUGCUUCGGCGGGGUUUACUUCCCGGUUGACGGGUCAGCAUCGAUUUUGGCCGUCGGAAAAGGGCGGGGGGAAUGUGGCACCUUCGGGUGUGUUAUAGCCUCCUGUCGGAUUACGGCGGCUGGGAUCGAGGAUCGCAGCGCAGCUCCUUCGGGGGUGCGGGUUCGCCCAGUUCAUGCGCUUAGGAUGCUGGCAUAAUGGCUUUAAACGACCCGUCUUGAAACACGGACCAAGGAGUCUAACACGCCCGCGAGUGUUAGGGUGGAAAACCCUUGCGCGUAAUGAAAGUGAAAGCCGAGAACCCUUUACGGGGUGCACCGGCGCCCGGACCUGGGGCUUCGGCCUUUGGCCCGCGGUGGAGCGUGUGUGUUGGGACCCGAAAGAUGGUGAACUAUGCCUGAAUAGGGUGAAGCCAGGGGAAACCCCUGGUGGAGGCUCGUAGCGAUUCUGACGUGCAAAUCGAUCGUCGAAUUUGGGUAUAGGGGCAAAGACUAAUCGAACCAUCUAGUAGCUGGUUCCUGC
Molecule: ribosomal RNA, 945 nt
Filed under: Crustoderma dryinum
Lineage: Eukaryota; Fungi; Basidiomycota; Agaricomycetes; Polyporales
Description: LSU rRNA
Rfam family: Eukaryotic large subunit ribosomal RNA
Source: RNAcentral